CGGGGCACUUUAUUCCGGCCGGUCUGUGUAAAAAUAAAUACACAGCUAUUUUGACGCCACAAUCAAAGAAUGCCAGAGAAAAUGAAGGAACAAACAAAUGAUAAAAUCAGCUCUAUUUUGCGCAGCAGCAGAAAGAUUCUACCGAAUAGCAGGCAUGCCGAGUUCCCUAAAGUAGCACUUACAUUCCUCAACCAAAAUACUCCAAUCGUAUUAAUAGGGAGGCAGGAAAAAUAAUCCGGAGAAGAUCCUGUUGGGAGAAUAACCACCCUAGAUUCUCCUCCAGUCAGUCCUUUAAUGGUAUGUCUCACACAGCCACCGGGUUGGAGCACCUCAAUGUUUAAAUCAUCUUUAAUCAAGACUGGAGAAUAAGGGCAGGUUCACGGGGGAAAUGCCUUUCUGUUGCACGCUUAAUUGAGACUUCUGUGACUUGCCGUUAGGUAAGCGCCGCGCGCGGCCCAGGGUCCCGCAGCCCUGCCCUUUGUUACGCGGUGGACCCCGCCGGCAGGCCCAGCCCCCAGCCCCUGGGGCUUUCAGUCCCAGCGUGGGGUGCAGCGGGGCCCCCACGGCCGACACCUACCAGGGCCCACGGGCAGGGCGCAGCAACUCCACGCCCUGCAGCCCCGCACCGGGACGCCCGGGCCGGGUGCCCACCAGCCCCUCGCGCCCAAAGCCGCGCGCGGCCCCCCGCCCGGACCAGAUCAGGCUCUGCCACGGACGGAGUAUCAACUGCCAGAGAGGAAAAAAAAAAAUCUGAAGUUGGAAGGUACAGGCUGCCCUUCACUUUCACAGUGAACACCAGUUUCAACAAUUCCCGAUUUCGCUACGCUUAGCGCCGGGCGAGUGGGCUCCAACACUCUAACCCCAAGAAGCGCGGCGCGUCUGUCGCGUGGGAACGAGACGGGAGAAACCACACAUUUCGAUAAUCUCUGAGAAGCACAAUCACAUCACUCCUUGGCUUCCCCUUCUGCAGGUUUCGCCUUGAAUCCGAAAGCACCUCUGAUGCUCAUUCUUUACAGGAGGACACUCAGAGGAGACUGCUGCGUGCCUACCUAGCUGCACAGACUCGGAAAAAAGCGUGUCCACGUCUACAGCUCACAACUGUGCAAAUUCG
This 1111-nucleotide long non-coding RNA is filed under the name Bos mutus (wild yak). RNAcentral's name for it is "lncRNA (ENSBMUG00000014675.1)". The record is from RNAcentral. Lineage: Eukaryota; Metazoa; Chordata; Mammalia; Artiodactyla; Bovidae.